Molecule: ribosomal RNA, 426 nt
Filed under: Triticum aestivum (bread wheat)
Lineage: Eukaryota; Viridiplantae; Streptophyta; Magnoliopsida; Poales; Poaceae
Description: partial small subunit ribosomal RNA
Source: RNAcentral
UGGUUCGAUAGAUGGGCUGGGGAAACCCCCUUCGUGGCGCGCUUUAUUGACCUGUUCACCAUCGCGGUUGAUCUGCGAAUUUCUGUCGCGGUGGCCCUUAUUGACUUAGGGCAUCUCGCGUUCCGGAGGCCAUUUGGACUGGCUAAGAAUGCGAUGUGGCAGGACUUGCUCGACUGCAUUGCUCUGCAUGAGCCGGACCUGGAGAUGGGUGAGGACCACACCAGGUGGCGUAUUGACCCAUCUAGACAGUUCUCCUCUAAAUCUCUCUACCUGGCUAUAGCCCCUUCGCCGGGUCCUAAGGCUCUCACCACCAUUUGGGCGAUUCGGCUUCCCUUAAAUAUUAGGAUCUUCUUGUGGCAAUGGAUUCGCGGUCGCCUUCCAUCUGGCGUAGAGGUCCUGAAACACAAUGGCCCUGGGGAUGGGUGA